CAGUCGCCGCGGUAAUACAGAGGGUGCAAGCGUUAAUCGGAUUUACUGGGCGUAAAGGGCGCGUAGGUGGUUAUUUAAGUGAGAUGUGAAAGCCCCGGGCUUAACCUGGGAACUGCAUCUUAUACUGGGUAACUGGAGUGCAGUAGAGGGUAGUGGAAUUUCCGGUGUAGCGGUGAAAUGCGUAGAUAUCGGAAGGAACACCAGUGGCGAAGGCGGCUACCUGGACUGAGACUGACACUGAGGCGCGAGAGCGUGGGGAGCAAACAGGAUUAGAUACCCGCGUAGUCCCUGUCUCUUAUAC
Molecule: ribosomal RNA, 301 nt
Filed under: uncultured bacterium
Lineage: Bacteria
Description: partial 16S ribosomal RNA
Rfam family: Bacterial small subunit ribosomal RNA
Source: RNAcentral